This is a long non-coding RNA of Balaenoptera ricei (Rice's whale), 510 nucleotides long. RefSeq lists it as uncharacterized. The transcript has 4 exons. NCBI's taxonomy places the organism in Eukaryota, Metazoa, Chordata, Mammalia, Artiodactyla, Balaenopteridae. The record is from RefSeq and is a predicted model, not a curated record.
GACGGGAAGGAGACCCAGGAUAACAGGGCACUCAGAGAAGGCGUGGGGGGGGCGUGUGGGACCUCUCUCUCCAUCUCUCACUCACUCUCUCUGCCUCCUUUACUCUGCAGUGUUUUAGGUGGUGGCUAUGGGGCCCCAGAGGCUGCUCUGGGAACGACAAACACCCAGAAGUAAAGCAAGUGGAGAAAAGCCAAUCAGACAGGUUUCCUGAGACCUGGGGCAGGAGAGGAAGAGACCUCUAGGGACAGCACAGACCAGGAGGGGAUUGAGGAGCCAAGGACAGGACAGGACGGACACCUUGCACUGCUAACCUGCUACACCUUUUGAAUUCAGGACCACGUGAAUAAGUUACCUACUGAAACCUUAAGUUGAGGACACAGAGGCACAGAGAUGUCAUCCAAGUUAUCCAAGGUCACACAGCUGGCAUUGCUAAGCUGAAGGAAUGUAAAUUCAGAGCUGCUGGUAGCCUUACUUAUCACCUUCAAGAGAGAAGUGAACUUAAAAGUGAGC